This 716-nucleotide ribosomal RNA is filed under the name uncultured bacterium. Its description in RNAcentral is "bacterial SSU rRNA". It matches the Rfam family "Bacterial small subunit ribosomal RNA", at positions 717 to 1436 of the family's 1533-position model. The record is from RNAcentral.
GAAGGCAGCUUACUAAACUUUGACUGACGCUCAUGCACGAAAGCGUGGGGAUCAAACAGGAUUAGAUACCCUGGUAGUCCACGCUGUAAACGAUGAUUACUCGCUGUUGGCGAUACACAGUCAGUGGCUAAGCGAAAGUGAUAAGUAAUCCACCUGGGGAGUACGACGGCAACAUUGAAACUCAAAGGAAUUGACGGGGGCCCGCACAAGCGGAGGAGCAUGUGGUUUAAUUCGAUGAUACGCGAGGAACCUUACCAGGGCUAGAACGCAAGUUGAUUAUGUGCGAAAGUAUAUAUCUCUUCGGAGCAAUUUGCGAGGUGCUGCAUGGUUGUCGUCAGCUCGUGCCGUGAGGUGUCAGGUUAAGUCCUAUAACGAGCGCAACCCCUACUCUUAGUUGCCAGCAUGUGAUGAUGGGGACUCUAAGAGAACUGCCUACGCAAGUAGAGAGGAAGGUGGGGAUGACGUCAAAUCAGCACGGCCCUUAUGUCCUGGGCUACACACGUGCUACAAUGGUCGGUACAGAGGGCAGCUACCUGGCGACAGGAUGCUAAUCUCAAAAGCCGAUCUCAGUUCGGAUCGGAGUCUGCAACUCGACUCCGUGAAGUUGGAUUCGCUAGUAAUCGCGCAUCAGCCAUGGCGCGGUGAAUACGUUCCCGGGCCUUGUACACACCGCCCGUCAAGCCAUGGAAGCUGGGGGUACCUAAAGUCCGUAACCG